CCUAUGGGGGGCAGCAGUGGGGGAUAUUGCACAAUGGGGGAAACCCUGAUGCAGCGACGCCGCGUGGGUGAAGAAGCGCCUCGGCGCGUAAAGCCCUGUCAGCAGGGAAGAAAAAGACGGUACCUGAAGGAGAAGCCCCGGCUAACUACGUGCCAGCAGCCGCGGUAAUACGAAGGGGGCAAGCGUUAUCCGGAUUUACGGGGUGUAAAGGGGGCGCAGACGGCGGUGCAAGCCAGGAGUGAAAGCCCGGGGCACAACCCCGGGACUGCUCUUGGAACUGGGUGGCUAGAGUGCAGGAGGGGCAGGCGGAAUUCCUGGUGUAGCGGUGAAAUGCGUAGAUAUCAGGAGGAACACCGGUGGCGAAGGCGGCCUGCUGGACUGCAACUGACGUUGAGGCCCGAAAGCGUGGGGAGCAAACAGGAUUAGAUACCCCUGUAGUC
Molecule: ribosomal RNA, 440 nt
Filed under: uncultured bacterium
Lineage: Bacteria
Description: partial 16S ribosomal RNA
Rfam family: Bacterial small subunit ribosomal RNA
Source: RNAcentral